GAGCAAUGAUGAUAUCUGCGCUUCAGUGAUGAUAGGGUCAUCACCAACUAUCAUCUCCUACAGAUGAGAAUACGCGCGUCUGAGCUC
This is a small nucleolar RNA of Carya illinoinensis, 87 nucleotides long. RefSeq annotates it as small nucleolar RNA snoR114. The transcript has a single exon. The record is from RefSeq and is a predicted model, not a curated record. NCBI's taxonomy places the organism in Eukaryota, Viridiplantae, Streptophyta, Magnoliopsida, Fagales, Juglandaceae.